UUCGCGCUUUUUUCGCGUAAUUUUGUACCAGUUCACCAAAAUGUUUGAGAGGGAGCGAGGAAAGAAACACAACCUCUUCGUCUUAUUAGAAGUGAGCAGAACCUGUUGGAUGUUUUGCUGCAAAAGCUCGCUCUUCAAUGGAUGCACAUUUCCUCACCUCCGAUCCAGCCUGGAUGAAUGGGUCUGCAUCCAAACUCACCGAUAAUAUCAAGGGCUUUUAAAGACAGUAUUCAUGUGGGCUUCACCAGACCAUGUACAGGAGAUGACGGCCUAGUCCUAAGAUGACAUAAAGCAGUAGGUAGUUCCCAAAAACUCCAACCAGGACCACAAGAGCGUAGCAAGGGAUGAUGAGAG
Molecule: long non-coding RNA, 354 nt
Organism: Sinocyclocheilus rhinocerous
Lineage: Eukaryota; Metazoa; Chordata; Actinopteri; Cypriniformes; Cyprinidae
Exons: 3
Source: RefSeq, a predicted model, not a curated record